UACGGAGGGGGCUAGCGUUGUUCGGAAUUACUGGGCGUAAAGCGCACGUAGGCGGCUUUGUAAGUUAGAGGUGAAAGCCCGGGGCUCAACUCCGGAAUUGCCUUUAAGACUGCAUCGCUAGAAUUGUGGAGAGGUAAGUGGAAUUCCGAGUGUAGAGGUGAAAUUCGUAGAUAUUGGGAAGAACACCGGUGGCGAAGGCGGCUCACUGGCCCGUAACUGACGCUCAUGCACGACAGCGUGGGGAUCAAACAGG
This 253-nucleotide ribosomal RNA is filed under the name uncultured bacterium. RNAcentral's name for it is "partial 16S ribosomal RNA". It matches the Rfam family "Bacterial small subunit ribosomal RNA", at positions 524 to 776 of the family's 1533-position model. The record is from RNAcentral.